Molecule: ribosomal RNA, 484 nt
Filed under: uncultured bacterium
Lineage: Bacteria
Description: partial 16S ribosomal RNA
Rfam family: Bacterial small subunit ribosomal RNA
Source: RNAcentral
AUUGAACGCUGGCGGCAGGCCUAACACAUGCAAGUCGAGCGGAUGAAGGGAGCUUGCUCCUGGAUUCAGCGGCGGACGGGUGAGUAAUGCCUAGGAAUCUGCCUGGUAGUGGGGGAUAACGUCCGGAAACGGGCGCUAAUACCGCAUACGUCCUGAGGGAGAAAGUGGGGGAUCUUCGGACCUCACGCUAUCAGAUGAGCCUAGGUCGGAUUAGCUAGUUGGUGGGGUAAAGGCCUACCAAGGCGACGAUCCGUAACUGGUCUGAGAGGAUGAUCAGUCACACUGGAACUGAGACACGGUCCAGACUCCUACGGGAGGCAGCAGUAGGGAAUAUUGGACAAUGGGCGAAAGCCUGAUCCAGCCAUGCCGCGUGUGUGAAGAAGGUCUUCGGAUUGUAAAGCACUUUAAGUUGGGAGGAAGGGCAGUAAGUUAAUACCUUGCUGUUUUGACGGUACCAACAGAAUAAGCACCGGCUAACUUCGUG